RNAcentral lists this ribosomal RNA (251 nucleotides) under uncultured prokaryote. RNAcentral describes it as "partial 16S rRNA". It matches the Rfam family "Bacterial small subunit ribosomal RNA", at positions 525 to 775 of the family's 1533-position model. The record is from RNAcentral.
ACGGAGGGUGCAAGCGUUGUUCGGAAUUAUUGGGCGUAAAGGGCGCGUAGGCGGUUGUUAAAGUCAGAUGGGAAAUACUUCGGCUCAACUGAAGAACGGCAUUUGAAACUUUAUAUCUAGAGUAUGGGAGAGGUAGACGGAAUUCCCGGUGUAGAGGUGAAAUCCGUAGAUAUCAGGAGGAACACCAGUGGCGAAGGCGGUUUCCUGGACUGAUACUGACGCUGAGGUGCGAAAGCGUGGGGAGCAAACAG